This 419-nucleotide long non-coding RNA is filed under the name Homo sapiens (human). RNAcentral describes it as "non-protein coding lnc-PRDM14-3:1". Lineage: Eukaryota; Metazoa; Chordata; Mammalia; Primates; Hominidae. The record is from RNAcentral.
GAGGCCCAGCAGCCAGCCUGGCCAAAGACAGACGCUUCAGUCUCAGGUCAUGAAUAUAGGGCCAUCUGAAUUAGAGAUGAACAUGGGGGGACCUCAGUAUAGCCAACAACAAGCUCCUCCAAAUCAGACUGCCCCAUGGCCUGAAAGCAUCCUGCCUAUAGACCAGGCGUCUUUUGCCAGCCAAAACAGGUGAGUCCUGAGCACCUAGGGUAGCCAGUUAUUUUAUACCUGUCCAGAAAUUAAUCUUUUCCUUUGGAGUAGUCGGUGCCUGACCAGUUUUCAUUUAUUGGUACUAUAUUAUCUACUGUGCAGUGCAUGAAGAGGAGGGGUGAAUCCAGAAAUCAGUAUGACCUAGGACAUACCUUUAAAGGAGUUACAAAUUAAAUGGAAAAUAACAUAUGUAUGCUGAUAACUGUAAU